This 206-nucleotide ribosomal RNA is filed under the name uncultured bacterium. Its description in RNAcentral is "partial 16S ribosomal RNA". It matches the Rfam family "Bacterial small subunit ribosomal RNA", at positions 568 to 774 of the family's 1533-position model. The record is from RNAcentral.
UCCGUAGGCGGGCCUGUAAGUCAGUGGUGAAAUCUCAUAGCUUAACUAUGAAACUGCCAUUGAUACUGCAGGCCUUGAGUAAAUUUGAAGUGGCUGGAAUAAGUAGUGUAGCGGUGAAAUGCAUAGAUAUUACUUAGAACACCGAUUGCGAAGGCAGGUCACUAAGAUUUAACUGACGCUGAUGGAGAAAGCGUGGGGAGCGAACA